Molecule: transfer RNA, 71 nt
Filed under: Candidatus Aphodenecus pullistercoris
Lineage: Bacteria; Pseudomonadati; Spirochaetota; Spirochaetia; Spirochaetales
Description: tRNA-Gly
Rfam family: tRNA
About the family: Transfer RNA (tRNA) molecules are approximately 80 nucleotides in length. Their secondary structure includes four short double-helical elements and three loops (D, anti-codon, and T loops).
Source: RNAcentral
GCGGUCGUAGUACAAUGGUAGUACCCCAGCUUCCCAAGCUGGUCACGCGGGUCCGAUUCCCGUCGACCGCU